AGGUUAACCGUAUAGGGGAGCCGUAGAGAAAUCGAGUCUUAAUAGGGCGUUUAGUUGCUGGGUAUAGACCCGAAACCAGGCGAUCUAUCCAUGAGCAGGUUGAAGGUUGGGUAACACUAACUGGAGGACCGAACCCACUGUCGUUGAAAAGCCAGGGGAUGACUUGUGGAUAGGGGGGAAAGGCUAAUCAAGCCUGGUGAUAGCUGGUUCUCCCCGAAAGCUAUUUAGGUAGCGCC
RNAcentral lists this ribosomal RNA (236 nucleotides) under Acinetobacter baumannii. Its description in RNAcentral is "partial 23S ribosomal RNA". It matches the Rfam family "Bacterial large subunit ribosomal RNA", at positions 643 to 881 of the family's 2925-position model. Lineage: Bacteria; Pseudomonadati; Pseudomonadota; Gammaproteobacteria; Moraxellales; Moraxellaceae. The record is from RNAcentral.